AUACGGAGGGUGCAAGCGUUGUUCGGAAUUACUGGGCGUAAAGCGCGUGUAGGCGGUCGGGCAAGUCGGAUGUGAAAUCCCCGGGCUCAACCCGGGAAUUGCAUCCGAAACUGCUUGGCUAGAGUCCCGGAGAGGAAGGCAGAAUUCCCAGUGUAGGGGUGAAAUCCGUAGAUAUUGGGAGGAAUACCAGUGGCGAAGGCGGCCUUCUGGACGGCGACUGACGCUGAGAUGCGAAAGCGUGGGGAGCAAACAGGAUUAGAAACCCCAGUAGUCC
This 274-nucleotide ribosomal RNA is filed under the name uncultured bacterium. Its description in RNAcentral is "partial 16S ribosomal RNA". It matches the Rfam family "Bacterial small subunit ribosomal RNA", at positions 523 to 796 of the family's 1533-position model. The record is from RNAcentral.